This is a long non-coding RNA of Momordica charantia (bitter melon), 957 nucleotides long. RefSeq lists it as uncharacterized. The record is from RefSeq and is a predicted model, not a curated record. Lineage: Eukaryota; Viridiplantae; Streptophyta; Magnoliopsida; Cucurbitales; Cucurbitaceae.
CUCCUUCCCCUCCCUCGUAGCCUAGCAGAUGCCCCCACCCCCUCGUGUUUUCGACGUCCUCUAGCUCGUCUCCGAUGACGGGCGUUCCUCUUAGUGACGAUGCAAUCUAGUGUUCGGAUGCACGUCCUCCGGCAUUCUCCCUGACAACCCAUGGCAGUACGACGCCCUCUAGCAACCUAAGAAAGCACGAGCUCCGGCGACGGCCCACGGACGACAACGACGGGUUCUUCAACUGCAUUGAACGGAAAUAAAGCCGUGCCAAACGGUAUUUUGUGUAAUUCUCCCUAGCAUUUUGGUUCUAUAUCUCUUUUUUGACGUUUCCCUCACAAGCUCCAGCGACCAAGCUGCGAUUUGCACGACCCACAGUGGCCCGAGCUUAGCCACCGACGGCGAUUUUUGCACCAGGCACGACAGUCCGGUGAAUCUGCAGUGUUCGCCAUGGAUCAACAGUGUGCGGCGACGGCUUGGCUGUUUGACAAUGACUUCCGACUGCUUCGGGUCUGAACGACACCUUCGUCACCUAAACUCGCAUACAACAACUUUCGGUAGUAGAUUUGGUGCGUCUCCCCUCCUGUAACUUAUGGACAACAGCAUUUUAGUGGCAUUUGGCACUUACCUGUACUGGUUUAAAGCUCGAUAUACGUUGCCCACGCUUGUUCAGGUACUGAACCAACGUAAGAUCUAAGAGCGUAGGCGUGUGUUUUGUAGGUAACAAAGUCGCUCACGGGAAUGGUGCUGGCGAGGAGGAGGCUUGACUGGAAAGAUCAUAUAACAUUGCAUUAAUUUAUUUUCAGUUUUAGUUAUGAUAGUUGUAGUUACUUCAUUUUAUAGUUGAGAUGCUACUAGUUGGUGCUGUUUAGUUUUCCUAUUUAUGUACUCUAUUCGAGACCCUAGUUGUACAAAGUUCAGAUAGUUGGCAAAGCUUAGUUUGAUUUAUUAUUGAGUUUGGUUCCUUGU